CUCGCUUUCUCUUACGCGGAGG
This 22-nucleotide ribosomal RNA is filed under the name Trichoderma harzianum. RNAcentral's name for it is "partial 18S ribosomal RNA". Lineage: Eukaryota; Fungi; Ascomycota; Sordariomycetes; Hypocreales; Hypocreaceae. The record is from RNAcentral.